UUGAUUUAUUUAUGUUUUUUACUCAGAUGAUAUUACAAAAACAAGAGUUUAUAGGGCCACCGGCCGGUCUGCUCCUUCCCCGAGGGAAAGGGACCUCAAAGAGGCCAACCAAUGCCGAGGCAACAUUUUAGGUAGUAUUCACAAAGGGUUUCUGGGUAGCACCCGUGAGGGCGUUUAUUCCAGCAAUGAUCCCUCCGCUGGUUCACCAACGGAGA
This 215-nucleotide unclassified non-coding RNA is filed under the name uncultured fungus. RNAcentral describes it as "sequence contains ITS1". Lineage: Eukaryota; Fungi. The record is from RNAcentral.